RNAcentral lists this ribosomal RNA (198 nucleotides) under uncultured bacterium. RNAcentral describes it as "partial 16S ribosomal RNA". It matches the Rfam family "Bacterial small subunit ribosomal RNA", at positions 326 to 539 of the family's 1533-position model. The record is from RNAcentral.
ACGCUCGACACCUACGGCAGGCAGCAGUGGGGAAUAUUGCACAAUGGGGGAAACCCUGAUGCAGCGACGCCGCGUGGAGGAAGAAGGUCUUCGGAUUGUAAACUCCUGUUGUUGGGGAAAAAGAGGAUGGUACCCAACAAGGAAGUGACGGCUAACUACGUGCCAGCAGCCGCGGUAAUCUGAGCGGGCUGGCAAGGC